UGUUAGCUCAGGGGUAGAGCAAGUGACUCUUAAUCAUUGGGUCGAGGGUUCGAAUCCCUUACAGU
Molecule: transfer RNA, 65 nt
Filed under: bovine gut metagenome
Rfam family: tRNA
About the family: Transfer RNA (tRNA) molecules are approximately 80 nucleotides in length. Their secondary structure includes four short double-helical elements and three loops (D, anti-codon, and T loops).
Source: RNAcentral